Molecule: ribosomal RNA, 396 nt
Filed under: uncultured bacterium
Lineage: Bacteria
Description: bacterial SSU rRNA
Rfam family: Bacterial small subunit ribosomal RNA
Source: RNAcentral
AACGAACGCUGGCGGCAGGCUUAACACAUGCAAGUCGAACGGGUGUAGCAAUACAUCAGUGGCAGACGGGUGAGUAACACGUGGGAACCUUCCUAGGGGUACGGAACAACUCAGGGAAACUUGAGCUAAUACCGUAUACGUCCGUAAGGAGAAAGAUUCAUCGCCCUAGACGGGCCCGCGUCGAUUAGGUAGUUGGUGGGUAACGGCCUACCAAGCCUACGAUCCGUAGCUGAUCUGAGAGGAUGAUCAGCCACACUGGGACUGAGACACGGCCCAGACUCCUACGGGAGGCAGCAGUGGGGAAUCUUGGACAAUGGGCGCAAGCCUGAUCCAGCCAAUGCCGCGUGAGUGAAGAAGGCCUUAGGGUUGUAAAGCUCUUUUACCAGGGACGAUAAU